GUACACUCCUACGGGAGGCAGCAGUGAGGAAUAUUGGACAAUGGGUGGAAGCCUGAUCCAGCCAUCCCGCGUGCAGGAAGACGGCCCUAUGGGUUGUAAACUGCUUUUAUCUGGGGAUAAACCUACUUACGUGUAAGUAGCUGAAGGUACCAGAAGAAUAAGCACCGGCUAACUCCGUGCCAGCAGCCGCGGUAAUACGGAGGGUGCAAGCGUUAUCCGGAUUUAUUGGGUUUAAAGGGUCCGUAGGCGGACUGAUAAGUCAGUGGUGAAAUCCGACAGCUUAACUGUCGAACUGCCAUUGAUACUGUUAGUCUUGAGUAAGGUUGAAGUGGCUGGAAUAAGUAGUGUAGCGGUGAAAUGCAUAGAUAUUACUUAGAACACCAAUUGCGAAGGCAGGUCACUAAGUCUUAACUGACGCUGAUGGACGAAAGCGUGGGGAGCGAACAGGAUUAGAAACCCCUGUAGUCCCAUG
RNAcentral lists this ribosomal RNA (472 nucleotides) under uncultured organism. Its description in RNAcentral is "partial 16S ribosomal RNA". It matches the Rfam family "Bacterial small subunit ribosomal RNA", at positions 331 to 799 of the family's 1533-position model. The record is from RNAcentral.